Molecule: ribosomal RNA, 563 nt
Filed under: Escherichia coli
Lineage: Bacteria; Pseudomonadati; Pseudomonadota; Gammaproteobacteria; Enterobacterales; Enterobacteriaceae
Description: partial 23S ribosomal RNA
Rfam family: Bacterial large subunit ribosomal RNA
Source: RNAcentral
UGAUCCGGGUUGCGGACAGUGUCUGGUGGGUAGUUUGACUGGGGCGGUCUCCUCCUAAAGAGUAACGGAGGAGCACGAAGGUUGGCUAAUCCUGGUCGGACAUCAGGAGGUUAGUGCAAUGGCAUAAGCCAGCUUGACUGCGAGCGUGACGGCGCGAGCAGGUGCGAAAGCAGGUCAUAGUGAUCCGGUGGUUCUGAAUGGAAGGGCCAUCGCUCAACGGAUAAAAGGUACUCCGGGGAUAACAGGCUGAUACCGCCCAAGAGUUCAUAUCGACGGCGGUGUUUGGCACCUCGAUGUCGGCUCAUCACAUCCUGGGGCUGAAGUAGGUCCCAAGGGUAUGGCUGUUCGCCAUUUAAAGUGGUACGCGAGCUGGGUUUAGAACGUCGUGAGACAGUUCGGUCCCUAUCUGCCGUGGGCGCUGGAGAACUGAGGGGGGCUGCUCCUAGUACGAGAGGACCGGAGUGGACGCAUCACUGGUGUUCGGGUUGUCAUGCCAAUGGCACUGCCCGGUAGCUAAAUGCGGAAGAGAUAAGUGCUGAAAGCAUCUAAGCACGAAACUUGCC